AAUUACAUAUGUGGGCCAGGCGCACUGGCUCAUGCCUGUAAUCCCAGCACUUUGGGAGGCCGAGGUGGGCGGAUCACAAGGUCAGGAGAUUGAGACCAUCCUGGCUAACACGGUGAAACCCCGUCUCUACUAAAAAUACGGAAGGGCAUUUGUUUUGUUGGGAUAGCUACAUAACAGUCUGAUACUGAGUCUUAUGGUUUAUGCUAAGUGGUUCUUCACAAGUUUCCUUGGUUUUCCUGGCUGAUAAUGUUUGCAUAGAGGACAGACAAAAGGGGGCUGGAACUGACUUGUUAAAAAUAGACGUAAAAUGAAUUCUGUUUUCAGCUGUCACUGAUGCUCGCAACUGCAUGUGAUGUCCUGGGCCAUGGGUGAAUCCUUUGAACUUAAUGCAGAGAAUGUCUUGUGAGUAGAUAUGUGGAGAUGUGCGUAUGGAGUCUUUCAGCCUUUCUGUUAAGUGGCACCUUACCUCCAUCAUUCAUUGUAUGCGGUGUCAUAGUUCUGAGUCCUUCCUAGGUUCCCUGGGGCAGACUGGUUAGCUGCCUUUGCCCUCUGAAAUAAAUUACUACUUCUCCACCUACUUUUGUCUUCCAAAGCUUUCUCAGAUGUCUAGUGGAUAUAAUAUAUCUUUACAAAACUUAUUUUUUCAAUCCAAUAACAAGGUCAGCUUAACAUAUACUUUUUCUUUCUCCUUAGUAAAUAUUUGCAUUUUUCAGGUAGGCCCUACACACUUACUAAUUUAAUUUCUGUGUAUUUUAUAUGUUCUUAUUUUACAUGUUGCUAUUAUAAAUGGGACAUUAUUUUAUUUUUAUAGUUGACUAUUGCUAUAUAGAAAACAUAUAUUUAUGUAUUCCUUUUUAAGUGUCCAAAUUACUUUUUUUGAUUCAAGUGGGUUUUCUGGGUAGAGGAAAAAGUUUCUCUUUCAAAUAAUGAUCAUUUUACCUCCUCUAACAUUUAUGACUAGUAUUCUUUUUCUUAUCUGAUAGCAUUGCUUAUGACUUCAGAAAUAAUAGUAGUGGUUACAAAUAUGUUUAUUUUAUCCUUCACUUGAAUAGGAAUGUCUUUAGGAUUGUUAUGACUGAUAUUUGUUGGCUGCACAUAGACAUUCUUUAAACAAGUGUCCCACUGACUUGUGUUUUGCUUUUGCUGCUUUAAGCUAGAAUGUCCCAGGUAGUACACACACAAUCUCUCUCACACACACGCAACUCUCAUAAUACACUCAUGAAAAG
Molecule: long non-coding RNA, 1226 nt
Filed under: Homo sapiens (human)
Lineage: Eukaryota; Metazoa; Chordata; Mammalia; Primates; Hominidae
Description: non-protein coding lnc-KIAA1586-1:1
Source: RNAcentral